Molecule: long non-coding RNA, 101 nt
Organism: Octopus sinensis (East Asian common octopus)
Lineage: Eukaryota; Metazoa; Mollusca; Cephalopoda; Octopoda; Octopodidae
Exons: 3
Source: RefSeq, a predicted model, not a curated record
ACACCAAACAUUUUGUUUUUUUGUAGAUUAGGUUGGCAUAAUUCGCCAUUGCUUUUCAAUCUCAGUAUUUAAGCUAUACACAGUACUGCUGUAGUGCACGC